This 496-nucleotide ribosomal RNA is filed under the name Malassezia restricta. RNAcentral describes it as "eukaryotic LSU rRNA". It matches the Rfam family "Eukaryotic large subunit ribosomal RNA", at positions 89 to 593 of the family's 3401-position model. Lineage: Eukaryota; Fungi; Basidiomycota; Malasseziomycetes; Malasseziales; Malasseziaceae. The record is from RNAcentral.
GCGACGAGCGGGAGAGCUCAAUUUGAAAGCUGGCGUCUUCGGCGUCCGCGUUGUAAUCUCGAGACGUGUUUUCCGUGCGGCUCUAUGGACAAGUCCCUUGGAACAGGGCAUCGUAGAGGGUGAAAAUCCCGUACUUGCCAUGGAAGUACCGUGCUUUGUGAUACACGUUCCAAGAGUCGAGUAGUUUGGGAUUGCUGCUCAAAGUGGGUGGUAGACUCCAUCUAAAGCUAAAUAUCGGGGAGAGACCGAUAGCGAACAAGUACCGUGAGGGAAAGAUGAAAAGCACUUUGGAAAGAGAGUUAAAAGUACGUGAAAUUGUCGAAAGGGAAGCACUUGAAGUCAGCCAUGCUGCUUGAGACUCAGCCUGGCUUUUGCUUGGUGUAUUUCUCGGUAGCAAGCCAGCAUUGGUUUGUGUCGUCGGAGAAGCGUAUGGGGAAUGUGGCAUCCUCGGAUGUGUUAUAGCCCUGUGCUGGAUACGACGACGCAGACCAAGGAA